This 433-nucleotide ribosomal RNA is filed under the name uncultured bacterium. Its description in RNAcentral is "bacterial SSU rRNA". It matches the Rfam family "Bacterial small subunit ribosomal RNA", at positions 957 to 1391 of the family's 1533-position model. The record is from RNAcentral.
GAACGCGAAGAACCUUACCAGGUCUUGACAUCCCUCUGACCGCUCUAGAGAUAGAGUUUUCCUUCGGGACAGAGGUGACAGGUGGUGCAUGGUUGUCGUCAGCUCGUGUCGUGAGAUGUUGGGUUAAGUCCCGCAACGAGCGCAACCCCUAUUGUUAGUUGCCAUCAUUGAGUUGGGCACUCUAGCGAGACUGCCGGUAAUAAACCGGAGGAAGGUGGGGAUGACGUCAAAUCAUCAUGCCCCUUAUGACCUGGGCUACACACGUGCUACAAUGGCUGGUACAACGAGUCGCGAGUCGGUGACGGCAAGCUAAUCUCUUAAAGCCAGUCUCAGUUCGGAUUGUAGGCUGCAACUCGCCUACAUGAAGUCGGAAUCGCUAGUAAUCGCGGAUCAGCACGCCGCAGUGAAUACGUUCCCGGGUCUUGUACACACC